This 443-nucleotide ribosomal RNA is filed under the name uncultured bacterium. Its description in RNAcentral is "partial 16S ribosomal RNA". It matches the Rfam family "Bacterial small subunit ribosomal RNA", at positions 28 to 507 of the family's 1533-position model. The record is from RNAcentral.
GAUGAACGCUGGCGGCAUGCCUAACACAUGCAAGUCGAGCGGUAAGGCUCUUCGCUGUACCCGACAGGCGGACGGCUGAGUAACGCGCAGGAACACACCCUGCAGUGAGGGAUCAGACACCGAAAGGUGUUCUAAUACCGCAUACUGUCUUCGGAUUAAAGCAUUUAUGUGCUGACGGAGUGGCGUGCGGCUUAUUAUAUAGUUUGUGAGGUAAUGGCUCACGUAAUGGAUGAUGUGUAGCUGGUUUGAGAGGAUGGUCAGCCAGAAUGGAACUGAGACACGGUGCAGACUCGAACGGGAGGCAGCAGUGAGGAAUAUGUCACAAUGAGCGAAAGCGUGAUGGAGCAAUGCUGCGUGCAGUAUGAAGGCUCUGGGGUUGUAAACUGCUUAUAAAAGGGAAGAUUAUGACGGUAACUUAUGAAUAAGGGACGGCUAACUACGUG